This 59-nucleotide transfer RNA is filed under the name Bos taurus (domestic cattle). It matches the Rfam family "tRNA", at positions 7 to 64 of the family's 71-position model. Rfam says of the family: Transfer RNA (tRNA) molecules are approximately 80 nucleotides in length. Their secondary structure includes four short double-helical elements and three loops (D, anti-codon, and T loops). Lineage: Eukaryota; Metazoa; Chordata; Mammalia; Artiodactyla; Bovidae. RNAcentral also lists the same sequence under 6 other names. The record is from Rfam by way of RNAcentral.
GUAGCUCAGUGGUAGAGCUUGUGCUUAACAUGAACAAGGCCCUGGGUUCAAUACCCAGC